UACGGAGGGGGCUAGCGUUAUUCGGAAUUAUUGGGCGUAAAGGGCGCGUAGGCGGCCUUCUAAGUCGAACGUGAAAUCCCCGGGCUCAACCCGGGAACUGCGUCUGAUACUGGAAGGCUUGAAUCCGGGAGAGGGAUGUGGAAUUCCAGGUGUAGCGGUGAAAUGCGUAGAUAUCUGGAGGAACACCGGUGGCGAAGGCGGCUUUCUGGGUCUUACCUGACGCUGAGGAACGAAAGCUAGGGGAGCGAACGGG
RNAcentral lists this ribosomal RNA (253 nucleotides) under uncultured bacterium. RNAcentral describes it as "partial 16S ribosomal RNA". It matches the Rfam family "Bacterial small subunit ribosomal RNA", at positions 524 to 776 of the family's 1533-position model. The record is from RNAcentral.